AUUCUUUUAGUAUUAAUAAGUACGGUUGACUUCCAAUCAACUAGUCUUGGUGUUAGCCCAAGAAAGAAUA
This 70-nucleotide transfer RNA is filed under the name Parascaptor leucura (white-tailed mole). RNAcentral describes it as "tRNA-Gly". The record is from RNAcentral. Lineage: Eukaryota; Metazoa; Chordata; Mammalia; Eulipotyphla; Talpidae.